RNAcentral lists this transfer RNA (74 nucleotides) under Gryllotalpicola protaetiae. It matches the Rfam family "tRNA". From Rfam's summary of the family: Transfer RNA (tRNA) molecules are approximately 80 nucleotides in length. Their secondary structure includes four short double-helical elements and three loops (D, anti-codon, and T loops). Lineage: Bacteria; Bacillati; Actinomycetota; Actinomycetes; Micrococcales; Microbacteriaceae. The record is from Rfam by way of RNAcentral.
GCCCCUGUAGCUCAGUUGGCAGAGCAUCUGACUUUUAAUCAGUAAGGUCGUCGGUUCGAGCCCGACCGGGGGCA